RNAcentral lists this ribosomal RNA (399 nucleotides) under bacterium enrichment culture DGGE gel band A19. Its description in RNAcentral is "bacterial SSU rRNA". It matches the Rfam family "Bacterial small subunit ribosomal RNA", at positions 929 to 1335 of the family's 1533-position model. The record is from RNAcentral.
GCGGUGGAGCAUGUGGUUUAAUUGAAGCAACGCGAAGAACCUUCAGGCCUUGACAUCCAAUGAACUUUCCAGAGAUGGAUUGGUGCUUCGGGAACAUUGAGACAGGUGUGCAUGGCGUGUCAGUCGUUCGUGAGAUGUUGGGUUAAGUCCGUAACGAGCGCAACCCUUGUCUUAGUUACCCGCACGUUAUGGUGGGCACUUAAGGAGACUGCCGGUGACAAACCGGAGGAAGGUGGGGAUGACGUCAAGUCAUCAUGGCCCUUACGGCCUGGGCUACACACGUGCUACAAUGGUCGGUACAGAGGGUUGCCAAGCCGCGAGGUGGAGCUAAUCCCACAAAACCUCGUUCCGGAUCGCAUUUUGCAACUGGAUGCGGAAAUGAAACGGCUUAAUCGGAAC